AUAUGUAUUAUGAUUUUAUUUCUUUCCCUAUUCCUUGUUGCAGAAAGUUUUGCCAGUAAGCAACUUUUAUAAUCCUUUUAAAAUUUCAUUCUUUAGUACUGAAUUUUGUUUUGUGAAGGAUUCUUUAGUAUUGUAUGUAAUUAUCUAUUCACACUCUUUUAUAUCGUUUUAUUAACAUUAUUAUUUUAUUCUAUUUUAUUCAUUACAGCGGGUAUGCCAUGUAAGACUGAUAAAGAAUGUCCAAACACUUCGACUCACAAGUAUAAAUGCAUUAACGAUGACUGUUUUUGCUUUUAUAUCUAUUGGCCAUUGGGAAAUUCUUUGGUUUAGUUAUACCAGAGUGACACAAUAAAUUGCAUGAAUAUCAUAUAUUUCGAGAGUAUACUCAAGCCAUAUAGGGAUUAAUAAUGUGUUUUUACACUAAAAAAUCUAUGCAAUGUAACUUUUGCUAGAUUAUUCUACGGUUUCCAUUCAUCUACUGUGAUCAUGGAACCUAAUAAUUAUAUCUUUUAUUUAUUUAUUUUGUACUCUAUGAACCUUGCAAUUAACUAUGGCUUAUUUUUAGCAUUCUCAUUUGCUAAGAAUCUAGAAGUGGCCUCUUGGAAGAUUCAACUUAAGGAUCUUCCCUCCUCGAUCUGGACAACUUUCAUGAAAUCAAUCCCUGCUCGGAGACCUUUCUUGAUUAGAUAUGUUUUCAUUUUUUCUUACACUCCUCGGAUUUGAAAAACUUCUUUUUUGAACCUCUCGAUGUAGUCUCGAAGAGAUUCAUUAUUUCCUUGUAUGAAGGCUUCGAGGGAAAAAAACCAUUUUAGGUUGAGUCGUUAAAGCUGUGAAAUGCACAGGGAACUCGUGGCGAAGUUUAUCCUAGGAGUCGAUGGAGUUCCUCUUGAGAUUCUUGUACCACAUCAUUGCUCCUCCGCGGAGUGUGGUCAUGAACAACUUGCACUUGACGAACCUUCUCUUAUUUCUAUAGUUGAGCACCACCUUGAUCUGCUCGUCUUGAUUGAAGGUUUUGUCGUAGGUCUCCAUUCGUUGAAGUUUCUCUAAUCUGGUGGGGAUUCGAGUUUCCCUUGUCCUUUUGGUGAAGGGCAUGUAUGCUUCACAAUCAACAUAUAAAUAAGAUGAGGACCACGAGCGUUUGGACGUACACCUUCUUUCAUGUUGUGAUCUUCAAGAUCUUCUAGCAUUUUCUCUAUAGGAUGUCAAGGAGAUAUGGAUCUGUCUAGAGUUGGACUCAUUCUCCUUAUGUUACUAUGGGGAGUAGGAGAUCGAAUAGUUGUCAUAGAGGUCGGAGACCUUCCACGCAUUUCCCUAGAUCGAGAUUCUUCCAUCUCCCUGAUGCGCCUGUUUUGAUCGUUGAUCACUUGUGUUUGUUGACACAGGUUCUUGAUAAUGUUGUUAAGCAAAACCUUUGUAGAAUAGACGUUACUCGUUCCUUCCUUAGGAAGUGGAGGACCGAAUAGUGGUGCCUUGCGGAUAGGGAUUACCAUUUGUUGUACAUGGUGUUCCGUCUCCUUCCUUGGGAUGUCAAUCGAAGCUGGAGUUGAGGUUUGUCUGUCACAGUUGACGGAGAGGACCUCAAUCAUUAGUUGGACGCAUCAUUAUCCAUUUUGUAGUAUGAAUAGUUUUUUUUUUUUUUUUUUAGUUUUCUUAUUUUGUAAGGAAAAAGAAGGGGAUAACUUAGUUUCCCACACACGACGCCACUAAUCUUACUUGGUGAGCAGAAUGAUGUCUGAUUCGGUGAACUAGCUGUUUAUACGACCUUGGAAUUAUGGAGGGUGGGGGUGGGGGGUACAUGCAUACACUCUGAUGGUCAAGUCAGUUUGUGAGCUAUAAUAGGGGUUAAAGAUUGUAAAAAAUCAUGCAUUUGAGGACUUGUGAAGUUCCCUUAUAUAGAAAAGAGGUGCAUAAGUCAUUGUUAAUGGAAAGAGUCGUUGCUCGGCUUUUAUGAUUCCAUGAAUCGUAACCGUCGAGCGUUAUAAUGUGGCAACCAUGGGGGCCGUUAUGAUUUUGUGUUUGAAUCAUUGCCCCGUGUUGCUACGAGCAUCCUCCUCGCGGAGAGGCAAUGUGAAGUAAGUAAUUGACCCAAUACUAAGUUUUAUUGGGCCCAAACUGAAAAAUAUAUGAAUUUGUGUUAAAUUAUUUUCUAUAUUAAUGAAGUCAUUGAAAAAGAUAAACAUGAUUGUUUUUUUUUUUUUUUGUGGUGAUCGGGAUUUGAACCUUAAACUUUGCAUAUAAUAUAUAUUGUCCAUAUCAACUGAGCUAAGCUCACGAGGACAAAUAAACAUGAUUUAUUAUAAUUUAAAAGUCACAAACAUAUAUACCCUUAAUAUUGAACAAAAUCAAAAUGUCAUACAAAAUAGUAUUCAUAUUUUACAUAAUUUUGCCCUGUAAAAACGGGGGACAUACGAGGAGUGCAUGUCUUAACAUUAUGUUACUUUUUCAACUAACUUAAAUCACUUAAGUUGUGUUAAUUAAUUUCGGGCUAAAAUAUAGUUUUGAUCCCUGCAAAUGUGCAUCGUUUUGGUUUUAGUCUUUGUAAAAAAAAAAUGUUGUUUUUGGUCCUUGCAAAAAAUUUUCAAAAGUAAAUUAUUUUGCAGGGACCUUU
Molecule: long non-coding RNA, 2608 nt
Filed under: Medicago truncatula (barrel medic)
Lineage: Eukaryota; Viridiplantae; Streptophyta; Magnoliopsida; Fabales; Fabaceae
Description: lncRNA gene16460
Source: RNAcentral